Molecule: transfer RNA, 83 nt
Filed under: Patescibacteria group bacterium
Lineage: Bacteria
Description: tRNA-Leu
Rfam family: tRNA
About the family: Transfer RNA (tRNA) molecules are approximately 80 nucleotides in length.
Source: RNAcentral
GCCGAAGUGGUGGAAUGGUAGACACGUCAGACUUAAAAUCUGAUGCCUUCAACAGCGUGUGGGUUCGAGUCCCACCUUCGGCA